AGGGGCGCGCGCGGCGUGCUACGCGAGGCUUUGAACCUCGCCAGGAGAGUUCGAGCCUCUCCGCCCCUU
Molecule: transfer RNA, 69 nt
Filed under: Nannocystis exedens
Lineage: Bacteria; Pseudomonadati; Myxococcota; Nannocystales; Nannocystaceae
Description: tRNA-Gln
Source: RNAcentral